AUGCUUUUGACGGGUAACGGGGAAUUAGGGUUCGACUCCGGAGAGGGAGCCUGAGAAACGGCUACCACAUCCAAGGAAGGCAGCAGGCGCGCAAAUUACCCAAUCCCGAUACGGGGAGGUAGUGACAAGAAAUACCGAUUCAGGAUCUUAUUGGAUCUUGAGAUUGGAAUGAGUACAAUUCAAACCCAUUAACGAGGAACAACUAGAGGGCAAGUCUGGUGCCAGCAGCCGCGGUAAUUCCAGCUCUAGUAGCGUAUAUUAAAAUUGUUGCAGUUAAAACGCUCGUAGUUGAACUUUGGGCUUGGCUGGCUGGUCCGCCUCACCGCGUGCACUGGUCCGGCUGGGCCUUUCCUCUUGGGGAUCCACAUGCCCUUCACUUGGGUGUGUUGGGGAACCAGGACUUUUACUUUGAAAAAAUUAGGGUGUUCAAAGCAGGCAUUUGCUCGAAUACAUUAGCAUGGGAUAAUAGAAUAGGACGUGUGGUCUUAUUUUGUUGGUUUCUAGGACCGCCGUAAUGAUUGAUAGGGAUAGUUGGGGGCAUCGGUAUUCAAUUGUCAGAGGUGAAUU
This 567-nucleotide ribosomal RNA is filed under the name Hesperomyces parexochomi. Its description in RNAcentral is "SSU rRNA". It matches the Rfam family "Eukaryotic small subunit ribosomal RNA", at positions 346 to 917 of the family's 1831-position model. Lineage: Eukaryota; Fungi; Ascomycota; Laboulbeniomycetes; Laboulbeniales; Laboulbeniaceae. The record is from RNAcentral.